RNAcentral lists this ribosomal RNA (460 nucleotides) under uncultured bacterium. RNAcentral describes it as "partial 16S ribosomal RNA". It matches the Rfam family "Bacterial small subunit ribosomal RNA", at positions 338 to 795 of the family's 1533-position model. The record is from RNAcentral.
CCUACGGGUGGCAGCAGUGAGGAAUAUUGGUCAAUGGCCGGAAGGCUGAACCCGCCAAGUCGCGUGCGGGAAUAAGGCCCUCUGGGUCGUAAACCUCUUUUGUCAGGGAGCAAAGGCGUCCACGUGUGGACGAGAGGCGAGUAACUGACGAACAAGCAUCGGCUAACUCCGUGCCUGCAGCCGCGGUAAUACGGAGGAUGCGAGCGGAAUCCGGAUGUAUUGGGUUUAAAGGGUGCGUAGGCGGAGUGUAAAGUCAGCGGUAAAAUUUCGGGGCUCAACCCCGUCGUGCCGUUGAAACUGACGCCCUUGAGUGAGUGAGAGGUAAGCGGAAUGCGUGGUGUAGCGGUGAAAUGCAUAGAUAUCACGCAGAACGCCGAUUGCGAAGGCAGCUUACCGGCGCUCAACUGACGCUGAGGCACGAAAGUGCGGGUAUCGAACAGGAUUAGAUACCCUUGUAGUC